This is a non-coding RNA of Cordylochernes scorpioides, 71 nucleotides long. The record is from the annotation of a GenBank genome assembly. NCBI's taxonomy places the organism in Eukaryota, Metazoa, Arthropoda, Arachnida, Pseudoscorpiones, Chernetidae.
GCAUCGAUGGUUCAGCGGUAAAAUGCUCGCCCUUCACGCGGGCGGCCCGGGUUCGAUUCCCGGCCGAUGCA